AGUGAACGCUGGCGGUAGGCCUAACACAUGCAAGUCGAACGGCAGCACAGUAAGAGCUUGCCCUUACGGGUGGCGAGUGGCGGACGGGUGAGGAAUACAUCGGAAUCUACUUUUUCGUGGGGGAUAACGUAGGGAAACUUACGCUAAUACCGCAUACGACCUACGGGUGAAAGCAGGGGAUCUUCGGACCUUGCGCGAUUGAAUGAGCCGAUGUCGGAUUAGCUAGUUGGCGGGGUAAAGGCCCACCAAGGCGACGAUCCGUAGCUGGUCUGAGAGGAGGAUCAGCCACACUGGAACUGAGACACGGUCCAGACUCCUACGGGAGGCAGCAGUGGGGAAUAUUGGACAAUGGGCGCAAGCCUGAUCCAGCCAUACCGCGUGGGUGAAGAAGGCCUUCGGGUUGUAAAGCCCUUUUGUUGGGAAAGAAAAGCAGCAGGUUAAUACCCCGCUGUUCUGACGGUACCCAAAGAAUAAGCACCGGCUAACUUCGUG
RNAcentral lists this ribosomal RNA (492 nucleotides) under uncultured bacterium. RNAcentral's name for it is "partial 16S ribosomal RNA". It matches the Rfam family "Bacterial small subunit ribosomal RNA", at positions 29 to 507 of the family's 1533-position model. The record is from RNAcentral.